GUCAAGUAAAAACGAAUUAUUAGAUAUAACUCGAAAAGUAGUUGUUAGAUCUCAAAUAAAUUUAAAUGGGACCAAUUGACACACACCACCUUUCGAUUAAAACAAAAUUUGUCGAAAUCGGUCCACCCGGUCAAAAGUUCUGAUGUAACAUACAUAAAAAAAAAUACAGUCGAAUUGAGAACCUCCUCCUUUUUUGGAAGUCGGUUAAAAAAAAACCUUAGACUAACACAGAUUAAUUGAUUAAUUUAGCCUGUAACAUCCCAUUACUGAGUGGGAGAAGGACGGUGGUCUGUGACUAAAUAUACAAAUUCAUAAAUCAAAACAUUAUUAUAUAUGAAACACCAGCUUUAAACUUACACAAUAAUUGAUUAUUAACCAAAAUUUUCAAAAGCUUUGCUAUUUACAUACGUAGUAAUAGAAUAAAACAUUACUUAUCUCAAUGUCUGUUUUUAAGGGUGGUGAAAUAUUUUUAAAGUAGUAGAAGAGAAAAGCAUGUCUGUGAUAUUGUUAAUUUAGGUUUUGUAAAUGAUUAUGAACAAAAAAUAAACGUUUUAUUAUAAAUAAUGUUUUUUUUUAACUUUUUUGAUAUUAUAAGUAUAUAAACAAACGAAUCUGAACAAAAUAAAAAAAACCCGUGGCUUCACCAUGCUGCUCCAAUACAGGUAAACGAAUAACUUUUUAACAUAUCGCAUUCAGCCUGUAACAUCCCAUCGCUGGGCUUAGGCAUUUUUCUGCAUGUACGCUGCACCAUGCUGAUCCACGAGGGCUGAUAUAUUACCUACUAUGAGUAAUAACCGCUAUCAAAUAUUCAUGAUAACAACUGGGACCGAUGGCUUAGCGCGGUCUCUGAGGCAUGGUGGGGAGACUCAUAAGGUCAGACAUCCAAACUGGAAAGAGAUAUUUGUACAAAUACCAAUAUCGUAUAUCGGAAUUCAAUCCGUAUACCGUCGAUGUUUUAUGCGAUUACUCGCACCCCUACACCAGAGCGGUUGUUGCAUGAGUCAUUGUUAUCAGGUAUCUAUGAUAAUGACGGAUUGAGUUUUUUUAGAGCUACGACAA
RNAcentral lists this unclassified non-coding RNA (1059 nucleotides) under Melitaea cinxia (Glanville fritillary). RNAcentral describes it as "misc RNA ENSMCXG00005015799.1". The record is from RNAcentral. Lineage: Eukaryota; Metazoa; Arthropoda; Insecta; Lepidoptera; Nymphalidae.